UACGUAGGGUGCAAGCGUUAAUCGGAAUUACUGGGCGUAAAGCGUGCGCAGGCGGUUUUGUAAGUCUGUCGUGAAAUCCCCGGGCUCAACCUGGGAAUUGCGAUGGAGACUGCAAGGCUAGAAUCUGGCAGAGGGGGGUAGAAUUCCACGUGUAGCAGUGAAAUGCGUAGAGAUGUGGAGGAACACCGAUGGCGAAGGCAGCCCACUGGGUCAAGAUUGACGCUCAUGCACGAAAGCGUGGGGAGCAAACAGG
RNAcentral lists this ribosomal RNA (253 nucleotides) under uncultured bacterium. RNAcentral's name for it is "partial 16S ribosomal RNA". It matches the Rfam family "Bacterial small subunit ribosomal RNA", at positions 524 to 776 of the family's 1533-position model. The record is from RNAcentral.